AACCCAUGGUAAGGGCACCUUCUCAAUAAAUCCUUAUAUCUUUCCCAUCCAUCAUAAAGUCCAUCUGCACAAAAAAAGAGAUAUCAUUCCUCAACUU
RNAcentral lists this small nucleolar RNA (97 nucleotides) under Gossypium arboreum. Its description in RNAcentral is "Plant small nucleolar RNA R71". It matches the Rfam family "Plant small nucleolar RNA R71". From Rfam's summary of the family: R71 is a member of the C/D box family of snoRNAs containing the C (UGAUGA) and D (CUGA) box motifs. Multiple nearly identical copies of this snoRNA have been identified in Arabidopsis, and it is thought to function as a 2'-O-ribose methylation guide for 18S ribosomal RNA. Lineage: Eukaryota; Viridiplantae; Streptophyta; Magnoliopsida; Malvales; Malvaceae. The record is from Rfam by way of RNAcentral.